AUCUGAUGAUGAGGGCAUCUGGCAUACAACCGCUUGAAUCUCUCCCAAUACUCAUAUAAUGACUCCCCAGUCUAUUGGCGAAUGCCACAGAUUUCCUUCCUUAUACU
Molecule: small nucleolar RNA, 107 nt
Organism: Humulus lupulus (European hop)
Lineage: Eukaryota; Viridiplantae; Streptophyta; Magnoliopsida; Rosales; Cannabaceae
Source: RefSeq, a predicted model, not a curated record